RNAcentral lists this transfer RNA (76 nucleotides) under Gammaproteobacteria bacterium. RNAcentral's name for it is "tRNA-Arg". It matches the Rfam family "tRNA". Rfam says of the family: Transfer RNA (tRNA) molecules are approximately 80 nucleotides in length. Their secondary structure includes four short double-helical elements and three loops (D, anti-codon, and T loops). The record is from RNAcentral. RNAcentral also lists the same sequence under 2 other names. Lineage: Bacteria; Pseudomonadati; Pseudomonadota; Gammaproteobacteria.
GCCCUGGUAGCUCAGCGGAUAGAGCAACCGCCUCCUAAGCGGUAGGUCGCAGGUUCAAUUCCUGCCCAGGGCGCCA